This 387-nucleotide long non-coding RNA is filed under the name Jatropha curcas. RNAcentral's name for it is "long non-coding RNA (JCUR_LNC003305)". The record is from RNAcentral. Lineage: Eukaryota; Viridiplantae; Streptophyta; Magnoliopsida; Malpighiales; Euphorbiaceae.
GUCAAAGUAUGUUGGCAAAGGUUGAAAAUAAAACAAACAUGUGGCAAAUUUGCAUUUGUAUUCUACUAAUCAACAAAGGCAGGACGAAAAUAAUGAAGGUCGGUGGCACAUGUUUAAUUUGUGCAAAUUAGGAAUUGGUGUCCAAUUUGCAUUUGAAUUGCAUAGCUCAUUCACUCAUUCACGCAUUUUCUCGCCUAUAAAUAGAGGAGAGAAUUUGCAUCUAUAUACACCAGAUAGAGAGAGUGAGAGCAAUUGUGAGAGAGCAAUUGCGAGAGAGAAAAAUAGUGAGAUUUUUCAAGAAGAAAAAUUAAGCUUAAUUUUUCGGGUAUUCUUAAAUAGAGGGUUGUGAGUGUAUGUAAACACUGUAUUUAUUUUUCUCCUAUAAAA